CCCUUAGAUGUUCUGGGCUGCACCCGUGCUACACUGGCAGGUUCAGCGAGCUUCAUGCCCUGAUCUGAAAGGAAUGGGAAAUCUUUUCAAAACCUGCCGUGCUUGGGAUAGAUGUUUGCAAUUAUUCAUCUUCAACGAGGAUUGCCUUGUAAGCGCACGUCAUCAGCGUGCAUUGAAUACGACCCUGUAUUCUGUACACACCGCCCGUCGCUCCUACCGAUUGAAGUUUUCGGUGAGUUGACAGGAGGAUUUUUUUGAAACUGGUUCGCCAGUGGAUUUUAGAUCCAAAUGCCAACGAAUCGAUGGCUUUAGAGGAAGGAGAAGUCGUAACG
This 332-nucleotide ribosomal RNA is filed under the name uncultured eukaryote. RNAcentral describes it as "partial 18S ribosomal RNA". It matches the Rfam family "Eukaryotic small subunit ribosomal RNA", at positions 1470 to 1796 of the family's 1831-position model. The record is from RNAcentral.